AGAAAUGCUGUAGCAUAAUAAAGGGAGCAGAUGAAUGACUGAAGCCCUACAGCUCCACUAAAGAUUAGAGUAAAAUCUGCACUUCAAAAGAUCCUGUAUUCUUGCAAGAGAACAGAGCUCCUGAUCACCUGUGUGCGUCCUUUGAGUGGAUGGCAGCUGCAUCUCUGCAUUACAGCUAGUUAGAAUGAUGAGUCCUUGCUAUGCCUCAAGCACUGUUUCGAGUGUUUGAUGUCUAUUAUCUCACUUCAUCCUCACCAGGACCCCAUCCGAGAGACAACAGAAGACAUACAGCCCAGACUGAUCUUGUAGGACUUGGUAAGAAAUUUUUAAGUGAAC
This 336-nucleotide long non-coding RNA is filed under the name Homo sapiens (human). RNAcentral describes it as "non-protein coding lnc-SPAM1-2:4". The record is from RNAcentral. Lineage: Eukaryota; Metazoa; Chordata; Mammalia; Primates; Hominidae.